CACCCCUCAAAAAUUUUCAGCCGCCACUCUCUUCCUCCUCCCACGCGCAGCAGCAUGGCACCCUUUCUUCCUCCCUGCUCCACGGCAGCAGGCAUGGGGCUUGGCUUCUCUCUCCCAUGGUGAGCAGGCCCUCUCCUUCCCCAUGGGCGCGCCCCCUUCAGGCUUGGCUGCAGGGACAGCGCCCUCCUUUCCCUCUGCUGUCCAGGCGCGGACGCCCCUUUCCCAUGGCCGAGCUCAAGCUGCCGGGACCCGACGCGGCGCCCCUCUGUUGCAGGUCGAGCGUCCUCCUUGCUCCUCCUCCUAGCGAGCGGCUGCAGCAGGGAGCCUUUCUCCCCUACGCGCUGGAGCUCCUUGGGCCGACCUCGGCGAGGUCCAUGUCCAUGGCGACGCAGCAGCUCCAUUCCUCCAUGGCCAUGGCGCCCCCUCCCUCCUCUUCCCUGCCGCGGCGAGGAAACGCCGGAACUCGUGCCCUCUCUCUGGUUUGGGUGGAGCAGCGCCUUCCCCUGCUAUCUCCUCCCCGACGCCCGUUGGAGAUGGCACCCAAUAGCCCCGGCACCUUCCUUUGCUUCGUCUCGCUGCCACCGCUGCGCACGUGCCAAGUGUUCGACAAAAUGUCGAGGGAGACGUGUUGUUGCAGCACUGUCGGCGCUCACCGGUUGGUUGCUGUUUUUGCGCAGCCCCAACAUCAUCGUCGAUCACCACCAGAGUGGAACCCCGUGUUUUGCGAGGAGAAGGCAAGCCGCUCAACGCUCGUCGGACGUGCGGGGCUAUGCACAAAUCGGAAUCGCCAUCGUUCUUACAAACACCGAUUGGGUUUGUUUUUGGUGAGCCGGUGCAUGUCGCUCUCGAUUGACUCGAUUAAUAAAUUAUAUAGAUGUGUGUAAAAUGUUUCGGUAUUACGCAUUGGUAGGAUCACAUUUGUGAUUGGAGAACAAGAGGUUGUUUGAUGUGUGCGAUUUGUAGUUUGUAUAAUUAUGUUUUGGUCGAUGUGGUGUACAUUGGUGUUUGAAUAUAUGUGGGU
This 1021-nucleotide unclassified non-coding RNA is filed under the name Zea mays. Its description in RNAcentral is "misc RNA Zm00001eb384080". The record is from RNAcentral. Lineage: Eukaryota; Viridiplantae; Streptophyta; Magnoliopsida; Poales; Poaceae.